GGAGAGUUGCCAGAGCGGACGAAUGGGACGGUCUCGAAAACCGUUGAGGUUACGGCCUCCGGGGGUUCGAAUCCCCCACUCUCCGCCA
RNAcentral lists this transfer RNA (88 nucleotides) under Microthrixaceae bacterium. RNAcentral describes it as "tRNA-Ser". It matches the Rfam family "tRNA". From Rfam's summary of the family: Transfer RNA (tRNA) molecules are approximately 80 nucleotides in length. Their secondary structure includes four short double-helical elements and three loops (D, anti-codon, and T loops). Further hydrogen bonds mediate the characteristic L-shaped molecular structure. tRNAs have two regions of fundamental functional importance: the anti-codon, which is responsible for specific mRNA codon recognition, and the 3' end, to which the tRNAs corresponding amino acid is attached (by aminoacyl-tRNA synthetases). tRNAs cope with the degeneracy of the genetic code in two manners: having more than one tRNA (with a specific anti-codon) for a particular amino acid; and 'wobble' base-pairing, i.e. permitting non-standard base-pairing at the 3rd anti-codon position. Lineage: Bacteria; Bacillati; Actinomycetota; Acidimicrobiia; Acidimicrobiales; Microthrixaceae. RNAcentral also lists the same sequence under 1 other name. The record is from RNAcentral.